Molecule: ribosomal RNA, 468 nt
Filed under: uncultured bacterium
Lineage: Bacteria
Description: partial 16S ribosomal RNA
Rfam family: Bacterial small subunit ribosomal RNA
Source: RNAcentral
GACGAACGCUGGCGGCGUGCUUAACACAUGCAAGUCGAACGGAAAGGCCCUGCUUUUGUGGGGUGCUCGAGUGGCGAACGGGUGAGUAACACGUGAGUAACCUGCCCUUGACUUUGGUAUAACUUCAGGAAACUGGGGCUAAUACCGGAUAGGAGCUCCUGCUGCAUGGUGGGGGUUGGAAAGUUUCGGCGGUUGGGGAUGGACUCGCGGCUUAUCAGCUUGUUGGUGGGGUAGUGGCUUACCAAGGCUUUGACGGGUAGCCGGCCUGAGAGGGUGACCGGCCACAUUGGGACUGAGAUACGGCCCAGACUACUACGGGAGGCAGCAGUGGGGAAUAUUGCACAAUGGGCGGAAGCCUGAUGCAGCAACGCCGCGUGCGGGAUGAAGGCCUUCGGGUUGUAAACCGCUUUCGACUGUGACGAAGCGUGAGUGACGGUAAUGGGUAAAGAAGCACCGGCUAACUACGUG